UACGAAGGGGGCUAGCGUUGUUCGGAAUUACUGGGCGUAAAGCGCACGUAGGCGGAUUUGUAAGUCAGGGGUGAAAUCCCGGGGGCUCAACCUCGGAACUGCCUUUGAUACUGCAAGUCUCGAGUCCGAUAGAGGUGAGUGGAAUUCCUAGUGUAGAGGUGAAAUUCGUAGAUAUUAGGAAGAACACCAGUGGCGAAGGCGGCUCACUGGAUCGGUACUGACGCUGAGGUGCGAAAGCGUGGGGAGCAACAGG
Molecule: ribosomal RNA, 253 nt
Filed under: uncultured bacterium
Lineage: Bacteria
Description: partial 16S ribosomal RNA
Rfam family: Bacterial small subunit ribosomal RNA
Source: RNAcentral